This 298-nucleotide long non-coding RNA is filed under the name Rattus norvegicus (Norway rat). Its description in RNAcentral is "long non-coding RNA NONRATT010223". Lineage: Eukaryota; Metazoa; Chordata; Mammalia; Rodentia; Muridae. The record is from RNAcentral.
UGGAGCCGCAGCGCCGGGAGCUGCUCGCCCAGUGUCAGCAGAGCUUGGCCCAGGCCAUGACCGAGGUGGAGGCCGUGCUCGGGCUGCUGGAGGCAGCAGGAGCGCUGAGCCCCGGCGAGCGGCGGCAGCUGGACGAGGAGGCGGGAGGCGCCAAGGCAGAGCUGCUGCUCCAGCUACUCCUGGCCAAGGAGCAGGAUCACUUCCAGGACCUGCGCGCCGCCUUGGAGAAGACUCAGCCUCACCUGCUGCCCAUUCUCUACCUGAACGGCGUCGUCGGGCCGCCGCAGUCUACAGAGGG